Carya illinoinensis is the source of this 714-nucleotide long non-coding RNA. RefSeq lists it as uncharacterized. NCBI's taxonomy places the organism in Eukaryota, Viridiplantae, Streptophyta, Magnoliopsida, Fagales, Juglandaceae. The record is from RefSeq and is a predicted model, not a curated record. The transcript is spliced from 2 exons.
UGGCCUGCGAUUCCCAGGCAUUGAAAACGACGACGUUUGAUGUCGCUGUAACAUAUCAAAGUGUCUAUCCCAAUACGUUUGAACUGGGCUUGCGCAUUGAGCAAUGCCCACAAGCGUAACAUCCAUUGCAGCUCUUCGCUCCCUCUCAAAAAAUACUGCCUUCCCAUUCAAGGUUCUCAAUCUCUCUCUCAAGCUAUUUCCUUUGCCUAUUAGCUCCAUACUUACCAUCUUCUUCACCAUGAUGUUGAGUAUUGUGGGCAAACUUGACGAAGUUGAGGCCAAGUCCAUGUCAGUUCCAAUCCUUUAAAUGUGCUCAGCCAGGAAGCUCCUGUUGUUGCGGAGGCUGUUGAAAGGAGUUGCGGGAGAAGGUAUGCGUGCCGGUUUACCUAAAUUUGUCCCUGUUAACCCUGUUAACUUGAGGGACAUAGAAUCUGCCAGUUUCAACAAGGUGAAGAGAUGUCUCUCGAGAUGUUGAAGAAGAAGAAGGGUUUGAUUAAUCCGUCAGGAAGAGAAAAGGAACUCCCUCCAAAGUUACAAAUCAUACUUGUACUUGCUUUAUAUUGUUAGCACGAACCAUAUAAAAGUGAACUUCCGCACUCUUCUCUUCUGACUGAACCAUAUAAAGUUUAAAAAUUGUGUGGGUUUCUCCUUCGUUGUAUACUUUUGAAAAACAUAAGCAUGAGAGUAGAUUUUCCCAUGUCACGACUAUUCUUA